GACUCUUACACAGAGAAACCCUGUCAUGAAAAUCAAAACAAAACACCCACACCUCUCAGUAUUUUUAAAAACUUAAUUACCAUCUGUGGUUGUUAGUGUGAAUGCAGACCACCAUCACAGAAACAAUACGUAAGAGAAUAGAGUAGAAUAUGUAUGUUAGCAACAUAUUUAAAACUUCAGAUUUCAGAUUGUGGGACAUACACAAGAAUGCACACAUGAAUUUAAUGAGACAAAAUGCAGAUACUCAUUGCCUAGGCAAAGAGGGGGCUAUGCAAGCCUUUCAGUGUGCUUUUCCUGUCUGUCUAGCCUUAGGAAACGUCUUCAUCUGACUGUUUUGUUUGACAGUGUGCUGGUUAGUUUUUGUUAACUUGACAGGAACUGGAGUCACCAAGGAAAGACCCCCAUUGGAUUGGCCUGUAAACAAGUCUGUGAGACAUUUCUGUUUCUCUAAUGAAUGGUCAGUGUGGGCAGUAGUGCUCCAGACGGGCGG
This 490-nucleotide long non-coding RNA is filed under the name Mus pahari (shrew mouse). RNAcentral describes it as "lncRNA (MGP_PahariEiJ_G0003947.1)". Lineage: Eukaryota; Metazoa; Chordata; Mammalia; Rodentia; Muridae. The record is from RNAcentral.